Molecule: long non-coding RNA, 245 nt
Filed under: Lepisosteus oculatus (spotted gar)
Lineage: Eukaryota; Metazoa; Chordata; Actinopteri; Semionotiformes; Lepisosteidae
Description: lncRNA (ENSLOCG00000021208.1)
Source: RNAcentral
AAGAUGUUUCUGUGACUCAGAGGGUAGCAUGGUGUGUGCUCUGCUGUUGUUGCCAUAUGUCUUUUAAAUAUUUUUCUGCAGCAGAAACCGAGGAGCUCCAGCCCCUGCACUGGCUGUUUUGCAGAAGCAGGAAUCUUGUAGAGUGACUUGCACCAAUGCUGAACAGUUGUGACAUCUGUGUAGUGUAGUGUUUCUCGUUUUCCUCUCCACUUUCACUGUGUCCAGUAUUAAAGAAAUCACUGCCA